This 327-nucleotide ribosomal RNA is filed under the name uncultured eukaryote. Its description in RNAcentral is "partial 18S ribosomal RNA". It matches the Rfam family "Eukaryotic small subunit ribosomal RNA", at positions 1470 to 1796 of the family's 1831-position model. The record is from RNAcentral.
CCCUUAGAUGUUCUGGGCCGCACACGCGCUACACUGAAGGAGGCAGCGUGUACUCCCGGAUCGAAAGAUUUGGGUAACCCGCGAAUCUCCUUUGUGCUAGGGAUUGAGGUUUGCAAUUAUCCUUCAUGAACGAGGAAUUCCCGGUAAGUGCAAGUCAUAAGCUUGCGCUGACUACGUCCCUGCCCUUUGUACACACCGCCCGUCGCUACUACCGAUUGAAUGAUUUAGUGAGGACUUCGGACUGGGACCGAUGCGGCUUUCGGGCUGCGUCGGUAUUCUGGAAAGAUGUCCAAACUGUAUCAUUUAGAGGAAGUAAAAGUCGUAACA